UACAGAGGUGGCAAGCGUUGUUCGGAAUUACUGGGCGUAAAGGGCGCGUAGGCGGCCUUCUAAGUCAGACGUGAAAUCCCCCGGCUUAACCUGGGAACUGCGUCUGAUACUGGAGGGCUUGAGUGCGGGAGAGGGAUGUGGAAUUCCAGGUGUAGCGGUGAAAUGCGUAGAUAUCUGGAGGAACACCGGUGGCGAAGGCAGGUCUCUGGGCUGAAACUGACGCUCAUGCACGAAAGCGUGGGGAGCAAACAGG
This 253-nucleotide ribosomal RNA is filed under the name uncultured bacterium. RNAcentral describes it as "partial 16S ribosomal RNA". It matches the Rfam family "Bacterial small subunit ribosomal RNA", at positions 524 to 776 of the family's 1533-position model. The record is from RNAcentral.